CUACGUGCCAGCAGCCGCGGUAAUACGGAAGGUCCAGGCGUUAUCCGGAUUUAUUGGGUUUAAAGGGAGUGUAGGCGGUUUGUUAGGCGUGUUGUGAAAUUUAGAUGCUCAACAUUUAACUUGCAGCGCGAACUGUCAGACUUGAGUACACGCAACGUAUGCGGAAUUCAUGGUGUAGCGGUGAAAUGCUUAGAUAUCAUGAAGAACUCCGAUUGCGAAGGCAGCAUACGGGAGUGUAACUGACGCUUAAGCUCGAAGGUGCGGGUAUCGAACAGGAUUAGAUACCCUGGUAGUCCGCACAGUAAACGAUGGAUGCCCGCUGUUAGCGCCUGGCGUUAGCGGCUAAGCGAAAGCAUUAAGCAUCCCACCUGGGGAGUACGCCGGCAACGGUGAAACUCAAAGGAAUUGACGGGGGCCCGCACAAGCGGUGGAGCAUGUGGUUUAAUUCGAAGCAACGCGAAGAACCUUACCAGGUCUUGACAUCCCUCUGACCGCUCUAGAGAUAGAGCUUUC
RNAcentral lists this ribosomal RNA (513 nucleotides) under uncultured bacterium. Its description in RNAcentral is "bacterial SSU rRNA". It matches the Rfam family "Bacterial small subunit ribosomal RNA", at positions 501 to 1016 of the family's 1533-position model. The record is from RNAcentral.